This 568-nucleotide ribosomal RNA is filed under the name Gephyromantis granulatus. Its description in RNAcentral is "partial 16S ribosomal RNA". The stretch from base 1 to 406 matches the Rfam family "Bacterial large subunit ribosomal RNA", at positions 703 to 1298 of the family's 2925-position model. Lineage: Eukaryota; Metazoa; Chordata; Amphibia; Anura; Mantellidae. The record is from RNAcentral.
UAGUUCGAAUCCCCGAAACUAAGUGAGCUACUUCAAAACGUCCUCAGGACAAACCCAUCUCUGUCGCAAUAGAGUGGGAUGAUUUUCAAGUAGAGGUGAUAAACCUACCGCACUUAGAGAUAGCUGGUUACUUGAGAAAAGAAUUUAAGUUCUACCUUAAGCUUCCUAAUUACAAAACAAACCUAUUAAACUUAAGAGCUAUUCAAAUAAGGCACAGCUUAUUUGAAACAGGAUACAACCUAUAACCCCGGGUUAAAGCCCUAGAACAGGCAACAAGUGGGCUUAAGAGCAGCCAUCUUCCAAAAAGCGUUAAAGCUUAACUCCUAUUCUACCUCAAUUUCCCCACACACCUUCAGCCCCCCACCUAUAUUGAGUAAUCCCAUAUACUUAUGGAAAAUACAAUGCUAGAACUAGUAACAAGAAAAUUUUUCUCCAAAAUGCAAGCCUAAGCCACAAUAGACAACCCUACUGGCAAUUAACGUAAUUGACCAUACUAUAGUACCCCAAACAAGAAUAUCCUAUAACUCCCAACGUCAACCUUACACCAGAGCAUUAAUGGAAAGAUUAA